AGCGAACGCUGGCGGCAGGCUUAACACAUGCAAGUCGAACGGGCACUUCGGUGCUAGUGGCAGACGGGUGAGUAACACGUGGGAACGUACCUUUCGGUUCGGAAUAAUCCAGGGAAACUUGGACUAAUACCGGAUACGCCUCGGGAAUGAGAUUAUCGCCGAUAGAUCGGCCCGCGUCUGAUUAGCUAGUUGGUGAGGUAAUGGCUCACCAAGGCGACGAUCAGUAGCUGGUCUGAGAGGAUGAUCAGCCACAUUGGGACUGAGACACGGCCCAAACUCCUACGGGAGGCAGCAGUGGGGAAUAUUGACAAUGGGCGAAAGCCUGAUCCAGCCAUGCCGCGUGAGUGAUGAAGGCCUUAGGGUUGUAAAGCUCUUUUGUCCGGGAAGANAAUGACUGUACCGGAAGAAUAAGCCCCGGCUAACUUCGUGCCAGCAGCCGCGGUAAUACGAAGGGGGCUAGCGUUGCUCGGAAUCACUGGGCGUAAAGGGCGCGUAGGCGGACUCUUAAGUCGGGGUGAAAGCCCAGGGCUCAACCUGGAAUUGCCUUCGAUACUGAGAGUCUUGAGUUCGGAAGAGGUUGGUGGAACUGCGAGUGUAGAGGUGAAAUUCGUAGAUAUUCGCAAGAACACCAGUGGCGAAGGCGGCCAACUGGUCCGAUACUGACGCUGAGGCGCGAAAGCGUGGGGA
This 687-nucleotide ribosomal RNA is filed under the name uncultured bacterium. Its description in RNAcentral is "bacterial SSU rRNA". It matches the Rfam family "Bacterial small subunit ribosomal RNA", at positions 28 to 767 of the family's 1533-position model. The record is from RNAcentral.